Molecule: long non-coding RNA, 903 nt
Organism: Drosophila willistoni
Lineage: Eukaryota; Metazoa; Arthropoda; Insecta; Diptera; Drosophilidae
Exons: 2
Source: RefSeq, a predicted model, not a curated record
GUAGUCGCUCUCACUCUCUCACUCUCUUUCAGUUUUAAUUGACAGCUCGUCUCGUUUUUCCCCAGCAAGUUUAUUCGUACUUGUUUUGUUGUUUGUGCUAAUAAAUAUUUACAUAUGUAAUUGUAUAAAGUUGUUAUUACUAUCUAUAUAAUAUUAUUUUAAUAUUGUCAUUCAAAUCAGUUUGGUGAUUGGUUUAUAUUUUUGGAGUAAAAAUUGCGACGAGAAAAAACAAAAGCAAAAGAAAGAAAAAUGUGGACGUUUUCGCAGCAUUGCCACACUGUUUGGCAUACUAAGGAGAGAGGGAGAGAGAAAAAUAAUGAUUGCAAAAAUGAUCGUGUUGUGUUUUUUGCUAUGUGUAUGUAUCUAUCUAUGAUGAAUGGAAGUGUAACGGAAGCAAGAUGUAGAAGGAGAAUGAAAAGCAACAACAAUCAAUUAUCUGAGUAUCUUAAGGUUUCCUAUAAGAGGGCAAUACCUUUAAAAGAUUUCUGAAAGUCUUAAAAACUACAUAAGUUGCAGUAUCUACACUUUUCAAAGCCGGAUCCGGGGAAGACCAGGGGCAGCUGUUGUCCUGAAGCCUAUUACAAUAAAAACAAUGUUGAUUAAUGGGCAAUUUUUUUUCAACUUGAAUAACAGACUUCGUAUUUACAUUAUAUAUUGGUAUUAAUCCAGUUUGGAAAUAUGUAUGUAUACAAUACUAUUCGAGAAAGUUUUGAAAAAGAGGAUAUAUGCAGACAUACAUAAGUACAUACAUACAUAAAUAUGUAGGUAUGUUUCAACUGAGGUAUAUAUUUGAAUACCUUCAUUAUUAUUGUGAAUAUAGUCUAAUAUCUAAAAGACAUAUGUAAGAUUUAAUUAUUCGACAAAUUCGAGUAUGAAACAUAAACUUACCCUUGCCACCUUAAA